Molecule: long non-coding RNA, 662 nt
Organism: Planococcus citri (citrus mealybug)
Lineage: Eukaryota; Metazoa; Arthropoda; Insecta; Hemiptera; Pseudococcidae
Exons: 2
Source: RefSeq, a predicted model, not a curated record
AUGUUAGUUACAUACAUUUGGUACAUAUAUUAAUUAUCUUUGAAGUUGUGUUAAAAACAUUGUGUGGUGUAGAUUAAUUGUCCGAGUAAAAUAUACUAAUAAAGUAGGUAUACCUGAUAAUGAUUACGUUACCAAGUUUCUCUUCGUCAUUGGGUGUUCUCCUGAUAUGCAGCUUCAUUCCAUUUGCCGCGCCAUUACAAACAAGAUUUCAUAAUAAAUAUGAAAUUACCGGUUUAGUUGAAAAUGUACGUUUUACGGAUGAGAAUGCCUUGUAUGUGGCGCGAGAUGAUAUUGGAACAUUAUGUUACAUCGCUCUCGACAGUAAAAAUGCUACAGCCACGUAUGGUGAUACUAAUCUGGCAUAUGAAUCCAAGAAAUAUCAUAAAAGUUUUGACAUGAAUGUAUGUCAAUUUGCUCACAGAGCUUUCCAUUUUAAAAAAGAGGUUAAUAUGUAUUGCAUGCUAACGAAGGGCGCUAACCAAGUAGCUGGAAUUCAGUAUGCUGGCAGAAGAGCAGUUACUGAUUGGGAAAACAAUUACUAUACCCACAUUUGCAGACCAAACUAACUUGCGAGCAGAGCAAGUUAAUUUUUUUAUGUCUUAUGCUAGCUUUUAGUUACAUGAAUUAUUGGAAAUCGUAAUCAAUAAAAUAAUAUUCGUUAA